GGGGGUGACCAGGGCUCGACGGUGACUGGAAAUCCGACGUGCAUGCCGAGGUGCGGUGGCCCUCGUAAAACUCUUCCGCAAACAAGCUAGUUGCGAACGACGCGAACUACGCCCUCGCCGCUUAAUCCCGGCGAGCAUCUGACCGGUCGGUGUUGAUGCCCCCGAAUCAGGUGUCGACUCUCAUCAACUCGCGGUGAGGAAGGCUACUGGCCAAUCCGCUAAACCCUUAAAGUAGAUAAGCGGCCGCGUUCCGUGCCCAUCCGGGAACGUCCGUCGAAAAAUAAAGAUCGGGCUACGCAUGUAGAUCGAAGGACGGAAGGUUGUCGGACGCGGGUUCAAUUCCCGCCACCUCCACCA
RNAcentral lists this transfer-messenger RNA (357 nucleotides) under Nevskia sp. It matches the Rfam family "transfer-messenger RNA". Rfam says of the family: Bacterial tmRNA, also known as 10Sa RNA or SsrA, is named for its dual tRNA and mRNA-like properties. Its role is to liberate the mRNA from a stalled ribosome. Lineage: Bacteria; Pseudomonadati; Pseudomonadota; Gammaproteobacteria; Nevskiales; Nevskiaceae. The record is from RNAcentral.